UUAGUAACGGCGAGUGAAGCGACAAAAGCUCAAAUUUGAAAUCUGGCACCUUCGGUGUCCGAGUUGUAAUUUGAAGAAGGUAACUUUGGAGUUGGCUCUUGUCUAUGUUCCUUGGAACAGGACGUCACAGAGGGUGAGAAUCCCGUGCGAUGAGAUGUCCAACUCUAUGUAAAGUGCUUUCGAAGAGUCGAGUUGUUUGGGAAUGCAGCUCUAAGUGGGUGGUAAAUUCCAUCUAAAGCUAAAUAUUGGCGAGAGACCGAUAGCGAACAAGUACAGUGAUGGAAAGAUGAAAAGAACUUUGAAAAGAGAGUGAAAAAGUACGUGAAAUUGUUGAAAGGGAAGGGUUUGAGAUCAGACUUGGUAUUUUGUAUGUCUUGCUUUCGGGUGGGGCCUCUGCAGUUUACUGGGCCAGCAUCGGUUUGGACGGUAGGAUAAUGACAUUGGAAUGUGGCACU
Molecule: ribosomal RNA, 455 nt
Filed under: Scheffersomyces shehatae
Lineage: Eukaryota; Fungi; Ascomycota; Pichiomycetes; Serinales; Debaryomycetaceae
Description: eukaryotic LSU rRNA
Rfam family: Eukaryotic large subunit ribosomal RNA
Source: RNAcentral